RNAcentral lists this unclassified non-coding RNA (168 nucleotides) under uncultured fungus. Its description in RNAcentral is "sequence contains ITS1, 5.8S rRNA gene". Lineage: Eukaryota; Fungi. The record is from RNAcentral.
CAGAGUACCGGUGCCCUCGGGCGCCUACUCCCACCCUUUGUGAACUUAACUCUGUUGCUUUGGCGGGCCGGGUGCCCACGCGCCGCCGGCCCAGGCUGGAGAGCGCCCGCCAGAGGACCAUUUAAACUCUGCUCACCGUGGCAUCUGAGUAAAACAAAAAUUGAAUCA